UACGGAGGAUGCGAGCGUUAUCCGGAUUUAUUGGGUUUAAAGGGUGCGUAGGCGGAGUGGUAAGUCAGCUGUGAAAGUUUACGGCUCAACCGUGAAAUUGCAGUUGAUACUGUUGGUCUAGAGUAUACAUGAGGUAGGCGGAAUUUGUGGUGUAGCGGUGAAAUGCUUAGAUAUCACGAAGAACUCCAGUUGCGAAGGCAGCUUACUGGGGCAUAACUGACGCUGAUGCACGAAGGUGUGGGUAUCAAACGGG
RNAcentral lists this ribosomal RNA (253 nucleotides) under uncultured bacterium. Its description in RNAcentral is "partial 16S ribosomal RNA". It matches the Rfam family "Bacterial small subunit ribosomal RNA", at positions 524 to 776 of the family's 1533-position model. The record is from RNAcentral.